AAGAGAUUCCAUAUGGACUCCAAAAUCAUCAUCAUCUUACUCUUUCACUUUGCUUCGAGACUCAUCAACUAUUGAUCAUGUCAUGAUUUUGCAUUAUGGUAGGACUGCUUAGUUAAAUCUUUAUUUCAAUAGUUUUUGCACUAAGUCUAACAUUUUUCGAUCAUCAUAUUGUGUACUUUCGAUCGAGUUUUAAUUAGAUCUCCCUCUCUUUUUUUGUUUG
Molecule: long non-coding RNA, 220 nt
Organism: Arabidopsis thaliana (thale cress)
Lineage: Eukaryota; Viridiplantae; Streptophyta; Magnoliopsida; Brassicales; Brassicaceae
Product: other RNA
Exons: 1
Source: RefSeq